This 1015-nucleotide long non-coding RNA is filed under the name Triticum aestivum (bread wheat). RNAcentral's name for it is "long non-coding RNA (TAES_LNC010045)". Lineage: Eukaryota; Viridiplantae; Streptophyta; Magnoliopsida; Poales; Poaceae. The record is from RNAcentral.
UUCAAUUAAUUAACAUGCUUCUGCCGAAAGAUGCUAAUCAUUCAUGUGACCUUGUUUCUGCAGCAUAAACAGAUGAAGCAUCAAUGAUCAACAAUAAAUACUUGGAUGUGGAAUGAAUUACUCCUUGUGGGAAUUAGCAUAGACAGUUUCUUGGCAAAAAAAGCUCAAGUUCUCCGUAGUAAACUAUAGUACAGUGGGCACCAGAAAGCAAUCAUUGGGUAUUAUUCAUCAUCAACAAUCGACACAACUAUACUGUAGUAAGCUAAAUAGUAGUUGAGCCCAUGAACCAUUUAAAAAAACUAACUAAACCACCAAUUAUAACAAAAUUGUAUUGUACUCUGCCAAAUUCAAUCUUGUCGACCACUCUCGGCUAUUAGUCCUAACUGAAGCACCUGUUAACAAACUAACUAAAUCAACAUGAUUCUAAAAAACAAAAGUAUCUUAAUCACCAUUGCGAAGCCAAAAGAUGGAAGUAUCAACCCAGUUCCUUGGUAAACCCAAGUUCAUGUGUGCAGGAGAGUGGAUUCUGCCACUAACAUGGCAAUCCAGUGGCACUCCACCUAGCACACCUGUGAAUCCAUUCAACCCAAGUUCCGGGCAGCCACUCAGAACAUGGCCGAAUUUGCUACAUGGAGCGCGAUCUUCUCCGGGUACUUCUGCGCCUCGGCGGUCCGAAGAGUGGAGGGGCACAACAGAACACCAUUGUUGUCACCUAUAGACCACACUGCAGCAGGAGAGGAGAGCACUUAUCGCAUUCGAUGGGAGAGGAAGAACAGGAGGUGGGGAAGAUGAAUGAAUGGACACAGUCUACCUCACCCUCGUUCCCCGACCAGCCGCGUCGCCACCACGCGAUCGGAAGCACCCACCACCGCGUGCUGAUCUAAGAGAGAUUACCAAGGAGAGAGAUGAUCCAAUGUGGCUAUGGAGGCAGUGGGAUGCGAUGGAGGGUGGAUGUGGUGAGGAGCGGCCGCGGAUGGAACAGGGAGCGACGACAACGAUCGGAGAUCAGGACGGC